CCUACGGGUGGCAGCAGUGGGGAAUAUUGCACAAUGGGCGAAACCCUGAUGCAGCAACGCCGCGUGAGUGAAGAAGUAUUUCGGUAUGUAAAGCUCUAUCUGCAGGGAAGAAGAAUGAAGGUACCUGACUACGUAGCCUCGGCUAACUACGUGCCAGCAGCCGCGGUAAUACGCAGGGGGCAAGCGUUAGCCGGAGUUACUGGGUGUAACGGGAGCGUAGACGGGUGUGCAAGUCUGAAGUGAAAGCCCGUGGCUCAACCGCGGAACUGCAUUGGAAACUGUAUAGCGUGAGUACUGUAGAGGCAGGCGGAAUUCCUAGUGUAGCGGUGAAAUGCUUAGAUAUUAGGAAGAACACCAGUGGCGAAGGCGGCCUGCUGGACAGAAACUGACGUUGAGGCUCGAAAGCGUGGGGAGCAAACAGGAUUAGAUACCCUAGUAGUC
RNAcentral lists this ribosomal RNA (441 nucleotides) under uncultured bacterium. RNAcentral's name for it is "partial 16S ribosomal RNA". It matches the Rfam family "Bacterial small subunit ribosomal RNA", at positions 338 to 795 of the family's 1533-position model. The record is from RNAcentral.